RNAcentral lists this long non-coding RNA (1706 nucleotides) under Sus scrofa (pig). RNAcentral describes it as "lncRNA (ENSSSCG00025004303.1)". The record is from RNAcentral. Lineage: Eukaryota; Metazoa; Chordata; Mammalia; Artiodactyla; Suidae.
AGACUACUCCAUAAACUGAGCUAAGCAGCGUGGGGCUUGAGAGGCUGAGUCCGACUUUGAAAGAAGUUCUAAUGUGGGGAAAACGCAAUCAGCAUUGCAUGCUACAGAGAAAUCGUGCAUGACAGGAAGAGUUAAUCGAUUUGGUAGCCUUCGUCGUGGUCUUAUUUUAAGAAAUUGCCACAGCCAGCCCAGCCUUCAGCAGCCCCCACCCUGAUCCAUCAGCAGCAUCAAUGUGCAGGCAGGACCCUCCACCAGCAAAAAGACUGUGACUCACUAAAGCCUCAGAUGAUUGUUCAACCUCUUUAGCAAGAAAAUAUUUUUUAAAAUUAAGACUGGGGAGUAAUUCUAACUCCCGUGACUUCGUCGUGCCUCGAAGUAGAAGUCUAGACAUCUGGAUUUGGACAUCUGGAUUCAUCCCUUGCUGUAUCCUCUAGGUUCUUUAAGGACACCGUCAAAGAUGGUGACCGACGCAGACCCUUGUAAAACGUCACAAGACUGGCAUACUUGUAGGUGAUAAGGACGGAGAAAUAAAACAUAGGAUCUCAGCCCGGCCUUACAGCCGCCUUGUGAGAUGGGUACUACUGUUCUCCCAUUUUACGGAAUUCAGUAAGAUGCGAUAGCUUGCCCGAGGUCGUACAGCAGUAAACAGAGGUCCGCUCAGGUCUGUCCGACCCCGAAGCCCAGGAUUUAAAACACUCGGCUGUGCGGUUUUUCAUCGGUAAUCUUCACGGCCUGGAGAUAAAGCGCCCUGUGUGGGGAUUCGCCCAUUUAAUUAAGCAAGUCUCAAACAGAAGCCUGGAACAGAGGCAUUUCCUGUAUUUGCUUAAAAGACUCUGCGGCGGGGCUCAAAACACUCAAAUGUUCAAGUUUGGCCUCAGAGUGCCCAAUUUCUCUCUUCCUGUUGUCUAAACAGGAACUGUGAUGGAUUUAAAAUGAAAGACUUCAAUGGGAGAAAAUACCCUCCUAAGCUACCUUUCUGUGCGUUGUGGCAUCAGUUGCCGCGCUUUCCAGGAGCCGGCGCUCCCUCCUCCUGCGGCAGGAAUCUGCCAGUUGAUGGAAAAUCGUGCAGCGGCCGGAUGUUUCCAAGGCAGAUGCGUCUCACUGAUGCAUCUGGACAGGAAACCUUAAAUACGGUUUUCUUUCUUAAAAAAAGAAACCCGACCACAUAUGUUUUUAUUUUCUUCCCAGCCCUUGCUGUACGAACACAGGCCGUGUACUGCGGGUCCCUUCCCGGGAGAGCAGAGGACUUGGCGGGAGCGGGCGGCCGGCCAGUCCUUUCCGGAUGAAGAUGCAGAGAUUUUCACCGCCGAUGCUUUUCUAAAGUUGUUCACUGGUCCUCCUCUACGUGAAAGAUGGGACAAGUUGGCAACUUCUCUUGAAAAAAAUGUGGGCCGUGCUUCUUUUUCCGGAAAGAGUUCAUAGUUUCCUAUCAGCAGCAUUUUAUAGGGAGAUCAUGAAGCCAGUCGUCCAGACGCCGGGUUCUCGGCGGGUCAUUCCUCUUACGAGACACCUUGAACUGUCAGAUGUAACUAGUCUUCAAAGAAUGCAGAACUCUUAGGAGGACGACGGCCCUUCCUUCCAAGAUGUUUGUGAAAUUGCUGAGGGAUAAAGGGUUGAUGAACUUGAUAGAUUCUUCCCUGGAGAUGGAGGCAUUAAAUACUGACGCCAACCGUACAGCCAAAUGUGGAGCAAUAAACACUCUCCCU